GCUACGAAUAUUUUCCACUUUCCAGAAAUGCCCUCUCGUUCGUUCACCUCACCAACUCGAGCUCUCUCUCUCUGGUUCCCCUCUCACCUACCCCCUUCUCGCUCCCCUCCAGAUCCCCGUCGUCGCCGGCUUCUCCUCGUCGUCGUUCGCCGGCCUCUCCUCGCCACCACCACGCACUCUGUUUCCUCCGGCCGCGCACACCGCACCGUAGGUCAAAAGCUUGCUUUUUUAGGCGCCGUCGACCAACUUAUGGGCGGCGGAGGAUGGAUCCGCGUGCACCAAAGCUGGAUCCGCGCGUGUCGACGCCGUAGCAGCGGAGCAGGGCUAUAGCAGCGCCGUCCUCCUCACGACCACAUAGCCGCGUCGGCGAAGGACUCGAAUCCCUAGUCAGCGAGCUCAGGCAGCCAUGGAUCCAUGGUCGAUGCCAUGGAAGAGCCACCAACAGCAACAGCUAAGAUAUGGACAUGCAGGCCACUGCCCUUCCUGAUGCAUCAUGCGUGCUGCCCUCCCUAACCACCGCUUCUCGGACUCUACUUCUUCCUUGGUCACCAUGGAAGAGCCUGUAGGAGAGCACCAACAACAGAAUUAUGCAGAGCCUUGUCAAAUGUUGUUGCACUGAACAGAGGCAUGGGUAAAGCUCUCAAUUUUAGUAUGCAAAUGUAUGCAGUAGUCAAUUUAAUUAAAAUGUGUUUAUGUAGGCAUAUGUAUGGAGUACUAGUCCUUUUAGUGUAGCAGUAGUGCUUGCUUGAUUGCUUGCAAUAGUUUAGUUGCUCUUUUAGUUGCUCAUAAUUAAGUGCAGGAGUAUCUUCUUCUCUGUUCUUGCUGUCAUCUUCUCUUAGCUGCUCAUAAUUAAGUGUAGGAUUUUCUCUUUUCUUUUCUCUUCUCUUCUCUUGCAAGUAAUUUAACUAAAAAAAUUAGUUAACUAAAAAUUUUCAGUUAAAGUUAACUGAAAACGUUCCAUGUCAAAUUGUGUACUCCCAUUGCUUUAUUUGAUCAUUUGAGUUAACAGAGUAUUUAACUUUUUAACUUUAACUGAUCAUUGUUUUAUUUGAUCCUCAUUGUGUACUUCCAUUGUUCUACUCCUGCAUUUAGUACUAUAUCUGCAUUGUUCUACUCCCAUUCAGUUAACAGAGUAGUUCAUGUCAAACAAAUUCUGAAAUAUACCUGCAUUUAGUAUAUCUCCAUCUCCUGCAUCUUCAUCUCCUGCAUCUUCAAUCAUCUCAUCUUCUGCAGGUGGAGUGUUGUUGAGGUCCAGGAGAACCAUCUUCUACAGGCGAGACGACGAGGCCGUUGUCAGUGGUGAGCUGGUACUACAGGAGAAGGAACAUGCCCAGGAGAAGAAGGAGCACGCCCAGGAGAACAAGAAGGAGCAGGAUUAAGGCCCUAAGGACCUGGCAUCGCUGCUGCUGGACCUGGGACCUAGGAUUGCUGCUGCUGGACUUGGGAACUGGGAUUGCUGCUGCUGUGUGCCUCCUUGGCACCCCUGGAUCUGGGAUCGCUGCUGGAAACAAGGACCAGGGAUCGCUGCUGGAGGCGAGGACCUGGGAGCGCCUGGGACCUGGGCGCAUGGAGGAGAAGCAGGGGCAGGCGGAGGAGAAGCAGGGGCGGGCGAGCGGACGAUGGCCUGGUGAACGGGCGGGCUAUGGCCUCGCGGAUGGAGGAAGACGAUGGGGAUACCGAUUCAAACUAGGGGCAACGAUGUAAAUUCCACCGUUUUCACCUGGUCGGAACUAAUCCUCCAGCGACUUACAUUUCGGAAUGGAGGGAGUAGGUGAUAACAGGUACUCCUAUAAUUUGGGUAUGUUAGGGUCCGCUAGCUGCUAUACAAGUAUGAUUAACAUCUUGUCUUAGCUUCACUAGGGCAAUAUGCUCCACAAUAGUUGCCACUGAUCUCUUCUUAACCAGCUGGCUACGUCCUCCCCAGUUACCCAGGCGCUCCCUGUAAGAAUGGUGCCUGUCACCCUGCAUAUUCCUGUGAAUAUACCGUGCCGGGGAAGAA
Molecule: non-coding RNA, 1999 nt
Organism: Aegilops tauschii subsp. strangulata
Lineage: Eukaryota; Viridiplantae; Streptophyta; Magnoliopsida; Poales; Poaceae
Source: RefSeq, a predicted model, not a curated record